This is a long non-coding RNA of Daphnia magna, 1545 nucleotides long. RefSeq lists it as uncharacterized. The transcript has 4 exons. NCBI's taxonomy places the organism in Eukaryota, Metazoa, Arthropoda, Branchiopoda, Diplostraca, Daphniidae. The record is from RefSeq and is a predicted model, not a curated record.
GUUUGCCUCCGUGCUGCUGCUGCUGCACGGCCGACUGAUGGAUGUUGUGCAGGUGGUGAUGUCCAGCCACUUUACCGGACAUUAAAUGUUGGUGAUGGUGACCUGUCAAAAUGGAUACCAAGUUGCUGAACCCAAUGGGGAUCAAACCCCUCCCUUUUGGUUCUGGAUCCUCUUCCACCUAUCAACUUUUGCCGAAAACACACAAUCUCUAUCCGGAUAUCUAAAGGAGGGUUGAGGAAAAAAAAGAUCUUCUCCAGGGAUUCCCUCCUUCAACUGGACGACAAGGAAAUAUUUAUCUACAAUUUUACCCUUCCGUUUUUUUUUGUUGCUUCUCUUGUCCAGUCAGCCUAACGUUAUCAACAUUUUCAGAAAGGCACAUUCAUCUUUUUCUGGGAAUGGAAUCCUUAACGGAUAAUUGAUUUCAAAUUUUGCAUUGAACUACGAAGCAGGGGGUGAAAACAACUUACCAGAUGAGUUGAGAUGUUGAACGAGCAUCUUCCGUAUAAGUAUAGAGAAAUGUUUUAUUGGUAAUUAAACUCGUUUACGUUUUCACAUUCAUAUUCACAAAUUCCACUUCAUUUCAGUUGAUUCUCUCUUUUUUUUUUUGGAAUUAUUUCUAGUCAACUCGGAAAGAGGACUCACAGAAGAAGAACAACACGUCCAAACUUGUUUUCGUCCAAUUGUCCAACUCAAACUGCGCAAGAUAAACAAACAAAACUUUCUGCCUAGAAAACGUUUCCCAGUUGAUUAACAGCAACUGUGUUCCAUCACGUGGAUGCUGGGCGACUGGUCCCGGUGUCACUUUCGAACCGCCAUCCCACGUCGUAUACACAAACGCACCUACCAUACUACAAGUUUGUUGUAGUACACACACACACAUCACACCGAAGUAGGAGGAGGAGGAUCCUUCACCACUCGCAUCGGAUCUAAAUGAUCUUGUGUGUCGGUCCAUUACGCCAGAGGAGGGGCUUCAAAUCGAUAGCUCCGCCUACUGCCUAGAGCCGAAUAUCGCUAUUGGACAGCGCUUGGAAAAGGGAGGUAACAAUACUCAAAGUGGGAGGAGCUUUGUGUUUGUGUUAAGAAGGGACCGUUACAGACCGUAGAAAACUUUGAUUUCUCUGGUUUACGUGACGAAAAGACUCUCUACUCUUAUUAUUGUAAUGCGCAAUUAUGGAUUUUGUUCGUUUUAGCAAUGAAUUGUAAAAAUUGGAUUCGAGCUGCUCGGCGAUCUCGGUUCGACGAAGGGAACGCACACCAUCAUUUGAAAUUUUUACCACUGAACCUUUAGAUACCUUGAUAGUCUUGAGGGGAAGCUAAAAAAGAAAAACAUCUGCCGAUGAACUAAAUGCGAAAUGUGUGUGACCGAUGUGUUUUUUUGGGGGGGACAGUUCGUUUGCGUGUACGUCCGUCCCCUUGUUUGGGUGUUGAGCGCGAGGGUCAAACAAGGUCAUUUUAGCACUGAUAUGGUGGAUUUCCUUUUGGGACUGCCACCACCACACCCAUCUCAAUAAUGUGCGAUAAAAAGAAAAUCCCUCCUCUACUGUU